This 239-nucleotide long non-coding RNA is filed under the name Mytilus galloprovincialis (Mediterranean mussel). The record is from RNAcentral. Lineage: Eukaryota; Metazoa; Mollusca; Bivalvia; Mytilida; Mytilidae.
AAGUUUCUUAUCACUCUAAGUGGCACUUGCUGCAAUUUUCUAUUGCCGUGGAUUCAAUAUUAGUUGGUUGUCUUUACUAUAUGUUGAUGUGUAAUACAAGAUUUUUAAUCAAACUCUUUUAUCAAUUUGUGUGCUAUUCAUGUCAGAUAACUCAUAAAUCAUGAAGUUAUUAUAUUUUUAUUUUCAUAUAUACCAACAUACAUGACAUACAACUUUCCAAAAGAAAAUAUCAAAUGACC